GCCAAGGAGAAGAUACGGGUUCGAUUCCCGCCGCUCGCC
RNAcentral lists this transfer RNA (39 nucleotides) under Triticum kiharae. Its description in RNAcentral is "partial tRNA-Gly". The record is from RNAcentral. Lineage: Eukaryota; Viridiplantae; Streptophyta; Magnoliopsida; Poales; Poaceae.